GCGUCCGUAGCUCAGCUGGAUAGAGUACCUGGCUUCGAACCAGGUGGUCGGAGGUUCGAAUCCUUCCGGACGCGCCA
This 77-nucleotide transfer RNA is filed under the name Legionellales bacterium. RNAcentral describes it as "tRNA-Arg". It matches the Rfam family "tRNA". From Rfam's summary of the family: Transfer RNA (tRNA) molecules are approximately 80 nucleotides in length. The record is from RNAcentral. Lineage: Bacteria; Pseudomonadati; Pseudomonadota; Gammaproteobacteria; Legionellales.